GUCCUUGCCGUAAACGAUGUGUACUUGAUGUAGUUGGGCUCAACCCCGACUGUGUCGUAGCGAACGCGAUAAGUACACCGCCUGGGGAGUACGCCCGCAAGGGUGAAACUCAAAAGAAUUGACGGGGACCCCGCACAAGCAGUGGAGUAUGUGGUUUAAUUCGAUGCAACGCGAAGAACCUUACCUAGGCUUGACAUACAAGAGAUUGCGUCAGAGAUGACGAGUCCCCGCAAGGGGCUCUUGAACAGGUGCUGCAUGGCUGUCGU
Molecule: ribosomal RNA, 266 nt
Filed under: uncultured bacterium
Lineage: Bacteria
Description: partial 16S ribosomal RNA
Rfam family: Bacterial small subunit ribosomal RNA
Source: RNAcentral